Balaenoptera ricei (Rice's whale) is the source of this 11569-nucleotide RNA transcript. It is a transcript of the gene named spermatid perinuclear RNA binding protein, with no coding region annotated. The transcript is spliced from 19 exons. NCBI's taxonomy places the organism in Eukaryota, Metazoa, Chordata, Mammalia, Artiodactyla, Balaenopteridae. The record is from RefSeq and is a predicted model, not a curated record.
AAGGGGAGACCGGAGCCGCGAGCGCCACCAGGGCAGCAACCGCCGCAGCCGCCGCCGCUGGGCUGAGGAGUCGGAGACGCAGGCGGACGAGGUGGCGGCGGCGGCGGAGCGGGAGCGGGGACCGGGCGCGGGCAGAGCGCGGCGGCGCGGGUGUAUUCUAGAGAACAAUUCUUCAAACACCUUUGCCAUAUUGACUCUGAGCUGUCAGGGGACUCAGGCUUAUGAGGAGGUACUGUCACAGAAAACAGUGUCUAGUGAAGACGACAAGAAAGAGGGAAAAGGAUCGGAAGAAGAAGCUAAAAUACUGUAGAAAACCAUGAGAUCUAUUAGAUCUUUUGCCAAUGAUGAUCGCCAUGUUAUGGUGAAACAUUCAACAAUUUAUCCAUCUCCGGAGGAACUUGAAGCUGUUCAGAAUAUGGUGUCUACUGUUGAGUGUGCUCUUAAACAUGUCUCAGAUUGGCUGGAUGAAACAAAUAAAGGCACAAAAGCAGAGGGUGAGACAGAAGUGAAGAAGGAUGAGGCUGUAGACUCCUAUUCCAAGGAUCAAGGUGGUCGGACAUUAUGUGGUGUAAUGAGGAUUGGCCUGGUUGCAAAAGGCUUGCUGAUUAAAGAUGAUAUGGACUUGGAGCUGGUUUUAAUGUGCAAAGACAAACCCACAGAGACCCUGUUAAAUACAGUCAAAGAUAAUCUUCCUAUUCAGAUUCAGAAACUCACAGAAGAGAAAUACCAAGUGGAACAGUGUGUAGAUGAGGCAUCUAUUAUAAUUCGGAAUGCAAAAGAACCCACGCUAACUUUGAAGGUGAUACUUACUUCCCCUCUAAUUAGGGACGAAUUGGAGAAGAAGGACGGAGAAAAGGUUGCGAUGAAAGAUCCUCCGGACUUAUUGGACAGGCAGAAAUGCCUGAACGCCUUGGCGUCUCUUCGACAUGCCAAAUGGUUUCAGGCAAGGGCAAAUGGAUUAAAAUCAUGCGUAAUUGUCCUCCGAAUUCUGCGUGAUUUGUGCAACAGAGUCCCCACAUGGGCACCAUUAAAAGGAUGGCCACUAGAGCUUAUAUGUGAAAAGUCUAUAGGUACUUGUAAUAGACCUUUGGGCGCUGGGGAGGCCUUGAGACGAGUAAUGGAGUGUUUGGCAUCUGGAAUUCUACUUCCUGGGGGUCCUGGUCUUCAUGAUCCUUGUGAGAGGGACCCAACAGAUGCUCUGAGCUAUAUGACCAUCCAACAAAAAGAAGAUAUUACCCACAGUGCACAGCAUGCACUCAGACUAUCAGCCUUUGGCCAGAUUUAUAAAGUGCUGGAAAUGGACCCCCUUCCAUCUAGUAAGCCUUUUCAGAAAUAUUCCUGGUCAGUUACUGAUAAAGAAGGUGCUGGGUCUUCAGCUCUGAAGAGGCCAUUUGAAGAUGGAUUAGGGGAUGAUAAAGAUCCCAAUAAGAAGAUGAAACGAAACUUAAGGAAAAUUCUGGAUAGCAAAGCAAUAGACCUUAUGAAUGCACUAAUGAGGCUAAAUCAGAUCAGGCCUGGGCUUCAAUAUAAGCUCUUAUCUCAGUCUGGCCCUGUCCAUGCCCCAGUCUUCACAAUGUCUGUAGAUGUGGAUGGUACAACAUAUGAAGCCUCAGGACCAUCCAAGAAAACAGCAAAACUUCACGUAGCAGUGAAGGUACUGCAGGCAAUGGGAUACCCAACGGGCUUUGAUGCAGAUAUUGAAUGUAUGAGUUCCGAUGAAAAGUCAGAUAAUGAAGGCAAAAAUGAAACAGUGUCUUCAAACUCAAGCAAUAAUACUGGAAAUUCUACAACUGAAACCUCCAGUACCUUAGAGGUAAGAACUCAGGGCCCUAUCCUCACAGCAAGUGGCAAAAAUCCUGUAAUGGAGCUCAAUGAAAAAAGAAGAGGUCUUAAGUAUGAACUCAUCUCGGAGACUGGUGGAAGCCAUGACAAACGCUUUGUAAUGGAGGUAGAAGUAGAUGGACAGAAAUUCAGAGGUGCAGGUCCAAAUAAGAAAGUGGCAAAGGCAAGUGCAGCUUUAGCUGCCCUGGAGAAGCUGUUUUCUGGACCCAAUGCAGCAAAUAAUAAGAAAAAGAAGAUUAUCCCUCAGGCAAAGGGUGUUGUGAAUACAGCUGUGUCCGCAGCAGUCCAAGCUGUUCGGGGCAGAGGAAGAGGAACUCUAACAAGGGGAGCUUUUGUUGGGGCCACAGCUGCUCCUGGCUACAUAGCUCCAGGCUAUGGAACACCAUAUGGUUACAGCACAGCUGCCCCUGCCUAUGGUUAAUACUUUUAAGCAGUUUUCAGCACGUUUAUCUCACUUUAUUCUCGUUCUCCUUGGACCUUCGUAGCCAUAUCACUUGUAUAAAAUAGGCUGAGAUAUAGUGACUGUAAGCUGUGGUCUCAGUAUACAAAGGUAGAAAGCAAGUUACUGUAAACCACAGAAAAGAAAGAGGAGACCGGGUGGCAUGCUUAGAAGGCUGUUGACUCGGAUGCUUCUCUCUUCCAGUUUGCUGCAACACCUUGGGGAAAAAAAAUCUGUACUUAACACCACUCGAGGCCUCCCUCUUGCCUGUUAAUCUUAGAAAAAAACAUACCUGUCUAUCCAUCCCUCUCUCUCUGUCCAUCUACCCAUUUAUCUAUCUGGACACAGUUGGGAAGUUGCUUUUCAGCAGAAAGAAGAAUGAGUAGAUGGUUGGUCUGAAUAAAGGGUGAGCAUCUUCUGGUCCGUCUCUGGCUCGCAUGUGUCUACGUGGACCUCCGGAACCUCUGGAAAAAAGCGUGCAGCGGCAUCCCUCUCUGCUGGUAGAGGUGAGCUGAGUGGGGAAUACAGAUCGAGUCCUGUGAUGCUCUAAGGUCAUAAAAACUGUGUAGACAGGAUCAGUGUUACUUUUAAAGGCAAAUAAGGUAGAUUUGCAUUAUAGUCAAGAGGCUUUUCUUCAAUCCAGGAGAUAUUUGUGUCAGUGAUAUCCUGGCAGAAGUGACCCCAUUCCUCAGCUGUAGCCGUCUGGGUGGAAUCCUUGCCUCAGUAACGAACACUGAGGGAAGGCCUCGGGGGUUCUUUUGUUUUGCCUUGAUCAGUCAGUUGUUAACACCUUAACUACUUGGUCCUUCUAAGGAGGGUCUUAGGGUCUUUCUUGGCAGAACUCUGCUAUUUCUGCAAACAAACUAUGCUGUCUCUGCUGGUGGGUGGUGUGGAGAUUGCCACCAUCUGCCCAGGCAGUUUAAGAGUCAGAUUAGCAUAUCCUAGCUGGAGAUGUGGUCCUGAGUCAUCUUUUUGCUGCUUAUGGCCCCCAGGAGGUAACGGGAUUAGCCUGCUGCAGUGAGGGCAUUCUCUUUGCGCUGCCUAGAAGCCUAGUCUCUCUCUGCUUUGUUUCAGUUUCUACCUUGAUCCUUUUGUGUGGUUUGGAAGAACAGUCUCUGCACUCACAUGUCAGCUGAAUGUCCCAGGUAGUUAACAGUGGCCCUCAGUUUAGGUCAUUUUGGGCUGUGGGCAGCAGUGGAUGGAAGAAAGGAGAGCGGGAAGAAAGGUGCUAAAAUUGGUACCUUGUGUGUGCCAGGCACUUGGACAUUUUUCUUAUUUCUCAGCCUUCUUGAAGGUGGUAUUAUUCUUAUUUUACAGAUGAAAAAACUGAGGCUCAGAGUUAAGUGCUAGAGUCAGGAAUGAAAUCCAGCUCUGUUCAGUGCCAGAACCUUUUUCUGCUGUACCAUGCUAUGGAUUAAAAGUCUGGAAAGAAGGUGAGGAAGCACAUCGGGGGACAGGAAGGUGGUGUGUGGGCAGUGAGGCAAGGCCGAAUGGAGCUUAAAAAGGGCCUGAACACAAGCCAGGGGCCUCACUGUCACAGGAUCUUUGGAGCUCACCGACUCAAGCCAAUCCCAGGCUCUAGGCUUUGACUUGAGGUCAUUUUAGACCAGAUAUCCUGGCCUAAAAUAGGGCUGUUUUCUUUUAGAACAGUUGGAAAAGAUUAACAAACUGGAAAGAUAGACUGGAGGGCUGAGGUGUGGCUGUAUAAACAGAGGAAGCUUUUGUAUUUGAAGCUUGUUUUUCUGUUUGAAUAUCAAUGAGAAAUUGAGGUGUGCGUUUUCAUUUAGCUAAUGCUUUCUGAGUACACGAUAUCUGGCCUGAGAUUGGUGAUGGGGAUGUCGUAAAAGAUUUGAGCCAGACUCUGAAGGAGAGCUGGUGAGGCUGGGCUCAUUGGGUCAAAGGAAGAGGGGUGGUCCAGGGUUGGGGUGUGAGUGCAGAGAAGUGGCCCUGGGCAAGUGUUGAGCAGAGACGGGGGUGAGGGGCAGAUUGCAGUGGCCUGUUCUGCUUGCCAGGAGUGUCCCCUGGAUUCGGCUUCACGGAAGGCUGUGUGUGGUCCCCUCACCAGCUCCUCGGCAGAUUAGUGCUGGCUGGGUCUCUGCUUACGGUUAGGUGGGCGUGGAGGUGGAUGCAGAAUCCUCUUCAGGGAAAGAUAUUCUUCCCUAACCCCAAGUCACCACCAGCCUUGGCAGUUGCCGUUUUUCUGAGCCCCCUGCCAUAAUCCUGGAGCGGAACAGGAAGAAGGAACCUCUUGUAAAGCCAGGUUGUAGGAGUUCUUGAGCCGUGGCUUGCGGAGGGAAUGGCACCUGCGUGUGUAGCGUGCCAGCAGAGCUCUCUCCGGGCCGUGACUGUGUUCCCUGCCCUGAUGGUCCCACUCAGAGAAGCUGCAGCGCAGGGGUGGUUGUUCCCACUGCACAGACAAGAAAAGUGAAGCUAAGAGGCCUCUGCAAACCACCAGCUUAUUUGUGGUAAAGCACUGUGGCUCCUAAUAAGUGAGUUUUUAAUCACACAGAAGAAAUGGCAUUUCUUCUGUUUUUAGAGUUAACGGAAGCCCUUUCUUAGGGAUGAGAUUUGAGCUCCACCACAACUGUGGGAUCUAGAAAUUUUCUCCUUUUACAGAUGAGGAAAUAGAGGCUUAGACAAGAUGACUUGCCCAAAAUUACACAGCUAGUAAGUGGCCGAGCCCACCCAUUCUGCUGGCGCUGUGCUCACCACUGGUGGUUGGUGUCGAGAGUCUAGGCUGCUGCCCAUCCUGUUUUCUAAAACCGUUUGGCAAGUUUCCUCUCCUCGUUAGGAGGCGUUCAUUCUACCUACCGUUCUUCCAGACUUCUGGGAUGUGUCCUGUGUGGUUUGAGACAAAACACACGGAAAACCACCUCUCUCUCCCUGACCCCCCUCUUCUCCCCCUCCCACCGUGGGAAAAAAGAAACCAGCCUUCGGGCUCAUUCUUCUCCGGCUAACCUGGCUCCUGGGCAAGGUUACUGACUAGCCAGCCUUGGGCCAGGUGGCCUGUUUGUUGUUUUCUUUGCCAGCUGCACAGUUGGGUCUGUUUCCACAGACCAUCUUUUUGUGCUGUAACUGAACCCUGUAAUAAAUUGCAAACCAGUAAUUGCCAUCGGAGAGAUCCCCAGGCGUUGUAUGGAGGGAAGGGAUGUGCUGUUGGGAGUGUGCUUUUCCACUGAGCUUCAUCCACGUUUUGGUUGUCAGCUGUCAUGUUUCUGGCUAGGCCUUCCUUGUGUGCUCCAACCAAAGGGGUCGCCCUCACAGUCGCCUUCCCAGAGCGCUGGUGCCAGGGUCUCACUGGGCCCUUCCAUGACGUAGACAGUCUCAGAAGAUGCUCAGCUCUCUGACGUCCUUCAGGCCCUUGGAGGCUGCAUUAUGGGAGGUAUGGCGGCCAUCAUCCUGGAGGGGAUCACUCCUUCCACAUCAUCUGGAAGGUGGCACCUGAGGAACUCAGGAAAGCUGAAAGCACCUCAAGAUGGGAUAGGUUGAGGCUGCUGAAGGACAGACCUGGAGAGAUCAUGGACCUUUCCAUCAGCUGUUUUAAAGAGUUGUAUUUACUUGUCAUAUGUAGUUCCAGAAGGGGAAAGAUAGUUACAGUAAAGCCAGUUGGGCAGUUUGAGCUAAAGUGUGCCUCUCAUGAGGUGUGGUGAGAAGUGGGCCCCGUGUUACCAGGAGUGCUUAGGCAGGAGGCCCGCUGUUUGGAUACUGCAGAGGAAGGUCUUCCAUGGGGUGUCAGUUUGCACAGAAUGCUGAUGUGGCUGGUGACACUGUCAAGACCGCUUCUCCCCUCUUGGGCACAUGGAUUUAUUGGAAACAUUCACUGUCACCUCCUACUACUAACCAGGCUGUGCUGGGGGAGAAGGAGCACUUGAGGAAAACGUCAGGAUUUUCAGCUUAGAAGGUGAAACCCCUGACCAAGAAGGAGCACAGGAAGGGGGAGGGGACUGCUUGGGGCCUUGAACAGAACGAGAGCCAUCUUCUGUGCUUGGGAGAAGGGCUCCCACUCAGUCCAGGAGCGGAGCCAGGCCUGUGAAGAGACUUAAGAGCUGCGUGACUUAGAGAGUGAGAGGGGCUCCAGUAGAUGUGGCCAUGGCUUCCGCAGAGCCUGGCAUCCAGCUGGCUAGGAGGUCUCAAGGAGGGGCGCCUGGUGUGCACAGAAGGGCAUGGCUUCUCAGGACAGCGUGGAGGUGCUUGUUAAUGGGAACCUGGGAACUGGGAUGGUUAGGAGGGUGAAGUAGCAGACGGCAUGUGCAGUUGGGGGCCACUUCGUGAAAGGCCUUGGGUGCCAUGCCCUGCAGUGCUUACCAUCUUCCAGAAUGGUGAGAGAAUUCUGGAGGAUCCGUUUGGACAGGUGGAUGGGGAAGAACCAAAGGCAGGAGUCAGAGGCUGUUGCAGAUGCCCGGCUGAAGGAUGAAGGAGGCUGGCUGAGGGCGUCAGAGGCAGGAAUGGCAUCUUUUCAUAGUCCAGGCUCCUUGCCUGGGCCCAGCAGGAGGUUAUGGGGCCAGGGAACCACAGGAACCCCACAUGCAGCCAGGGAACUGGGGGCCACUGUUGAGUAGGUGCCUGGGACCAAGACAGGAAAGGCGGGUGGUGGUGGGGAGAGGCGUUGCAGUGUAGCAAGGGCCAUCUCCACUGGCCAGGAAGCGGGGAUUUGGUGGGCCUGACUUCUCGUGGGUGCGGGGGCUCUGAGUUCCCUUCUUGUGCUCUCUGGGAAGUGUCUCCUUUGGCAAAGGACAGAGAGGUUUAUGGGCUGGUCAGUCAGAAUCUUACCCUUUCCCUGAGUUUCUGCUCUGCUGAGUUUGCCAGUCAAAGGGAGUGGCAGGUACUGGAUGUUCGUUGGUACAGAGGCUUCUGCUUUUAAAAAAAGUAAUGUUUUGACUUCUUUACCUGGGCAAGGGUUGGAGUUCAUUGGAUUCAACAUUUGUAGAACAGGGGCUUUAGCCGGGGGAAGGUACACACUUGCUCUACAGAGUACUUUAGGGAAGGGAAAAAGGCGAAAUUGUAAGAUUACUAGAGAAUUUGCUUUGGGCCUCAGUUUUGUGUCUGUCCUGCCAUCUCUGGCUCGUUCUGCACAGGUGGGCAGGGAGACCUGAAGAGGAGUCGGGGUGGGUUUCUGCACUUCUGUGUUUCUAUACCUCUGCUGGGGACAGGGGCUAAAAAAGCAGUGGUGGUUUUGAGCCUUUAGGUCAGAGCUCUGAAAGGUUAGGGUUCACUGAGACACUGAUUGCAUCGACCUUUGGGGUGACCAGGUGUCUCUAACUACGAGUGGCCUUGUUUGUUUAGCCCAGUGGGCCACAGAAAAAUCACCUUUUUGCGUGUCACAGUGUGGAAAUCGAUGGGAACGCUGCCUUAGGCCUGGUGUCGACAAACUUUCUGGAAAGGUCCAGGGAGUAACUCUUUCAGGCUUGUGGCCCAUUCGCUCUGUCACAGCUACUCAGCCCUGCCGUUCCAGCAGCACCCGCGCAGCCAGAGGCAGAGUGUAGACAGACAGGCGUGGCUGCAGGCCACACUUCACCCAAUCCCUGCCUUGGACUGUGGCGGUUACUCACCCUCUGGCUUAAUCAUGACUGGAAGCUUUCUCCCGUCUGCUGCCUGGACCCAUCUAUCUUCCCAUGAAGGCUUCCUGCGCAUCUGUUAGGUGUGCAGCUCUUGCGCAGAAGGACCUCAGAUUUUGAGUGAGAGGUGGGCCCUUUCGGGGGAGCGGGUGCUGCAGAGCGAAAUACAGAAAGGGGCUCGGGGAGAGAAGGCCGAGGGUGAACCCGGAGAGUCUGAGGAAGGAGGGAGGCAGCUCCGGAGAGGAGGACGCUGGGGGCCAGCCUGUGAAUAAAGGGCGCUGGGGAGCCAAUGGGAGGCUGUGCUCAGGAAGGGGAAGUGAUCACAGAUGCACUUUGGAAAGAUCCUCUGGUUGGGGAAGACCACGUUUGUGGUUACAAAUAGUAGCUUUCAGUUUAGUUGGACUCUUUCGCCCAGAGUCUGGUUACUGUUGGUACCCGAGUGGGAAGGCGAGACUCCCGAGUUGGGUAGCUUUUCUGGCCGCCGGCUGUAGGGGGCCAGUGAGUGGCACAGUUUUUGACACAGCAGAGCUUGACACGGUCUGCCGCCUUCGGGCUUCUUCUCUGUCACUAUCCAGAGAUAGCUUAAACGGCAAGACAAAUGAAACGCUCUGUCUCAUGUCUAAUUUUGGAUUGGGGCCUUGGUGUAUGAGGGUGAACAAAUGCUAGGGAUGGGCUUCCCCUCGCUUCAGAACGGAGCUACCCUGGCACGAAAGCCUAAUGGAGCUGGUGCCUGUAAACCGAGGCAAGAUGCACAGGCCGGGGCAGGUGCUGCUCAGGGGCAUCCCAGACGCUCUAGGCCAGGACUGAUGUCGGGCUGGGAGACUGCAGAUCGGACACGGCGCCUGCCCCAAGGUGCUCCACGUAGUUGGGGCAAGGAGAAAACUCUUACAUAGUGCUUCCUACUCUCCACAGUGUUUUCCCUCAGAGAUGUGUCUAGGCAGGUGAAGGGAACUGCUGUUGACUGAGCACCGUGAGGUGAGGUUCCAGGGGCGCGAGCUGCCAGCGUCCUCCCCUUGACGUGGACAGAAGUCUGGAGGGGUGCUGGCCUCACGAGCCCACGGAGAGGCCUGCGCAGAUGCUGGUUCCCUGAAACCCGCACGGGCCUGUAGGAGUGGGUGAGGACCACGCGCAGCUCAGCGGAGGGAAGGCGCUGGCCCGAGGCCCCGCAGCGGGGACCUGGCGGUGCUGGCUCCAGUGGGGCCCUCCCAGCACGGCUCCAGCAGCGCCGCACCGUGGACCGGUUUUGUGUGGUUGUGGAUCCUCUGGGGACUGAGCCAGCAGGUGAGGGGUUUGGUGCUGCCCUGAGCCGCUGGGCAGACGUGGGCAGGGCCUCAGGCAGGUGGGUGGUGGGCUGCCUGAGGGCACUGCUGCUGCCUGCUCUGAGUGAGGGCACAGCUCGUCAUCGUCCAGGUCAGAUGAGGGUUGUGGAAGGAAGAGUCGCGGAGAAGCCAUGGCUCCAGGGCACGCGGGCUGCUGCCGCGGGGCUCCUCAGGCUCCGGGGGGCGGUGCUCUCAGCAUGGCAGCGGGUGCAUAACUUCCCAUCUCUAAGGAGCACGGCCUGGGUCUUCCAGAGGUGUUUCUGGGGUCCUGGAAUGGCAAGGAUAGAAGCAAGCCUGGCCCAGCCAGAUGUGCCUCCAGCUGUGGUCUUUCAUCGGGCAGCUCAGCCUGCGCUGCGGCUCUGGCCUCACGGGGAGGCUUGUGUCUGGAGCACCCUAGACCCUCGUGGAGCUCGAGCCUGGCCCCUGCCCCAUCCUGGCCCACAGCCAUAAGCUAGAUGCCACUGUCUCAUUUUCCUGCUUGGGGAAAUAGAUGAUGGUCUAAGAGUUCUUUUUUUGAUUCUCACCUAAAUAUUUCUGCUGUUCUGGGAAGACUUUUUAAAAUUUUUGUUCAUGAAGAUGAUGAAUCAUGGAUAAGGAUAGGAGUUUAGAUAGCUAAGAAGACUGUCUUCUCCACUUGUAGCUCAUAAUCAAGAAAGCUGCACCUUCAGUGUCCAGCCUCUUGCCCCACCCGCUUCCGGCCGGCGUGAGCUCCUCUCCUCACAGACACCCUCGGGCUUAAGUUGUGGUUAAGCUUACCCUCCUUUCCUUCCUUGACGUGUUCCUGUCGCUCUGUGGGCCUCCUCGACGACUCUUCCCCUCACUGGCUCCCUCGGCUGCGGCCCUGACACCCAGCUUGUGAUGAUGGCCCACGUGAGGCAUGGUGUGGAGUUUAGUCAGGUUCCUGAAAUACCUCUUCUCUCACCUGCCAGGCUGGCAGUGCUGGCGUUUGAUGCGUCCCUUUCCCUGCCCAUGGCGGUGUCUCCUGCUCAGGCCAGCCCUGUGCGGUCAUGUGGGGUUCACACUGCACCCCUACUUUGCAGAGGGAACACUGAGUACCGCUUGUCCCCUCGUUCACUUACUGUGGUGGCUUCUCAGACAACAGGCAUCCUCAAGGUUCCUGACCAGGGGCCUUACUUUCCGCAUCUCCCGGGAAUCAAGGGCAGCUCUGCGUGUCUUGUGAGCUGUUGCCAACCUCCACACGGACUUCCUUUCCCAGGGGCUUGAGGCGGCAAAGGGAAUGCUUGGUCAAGGUGGGACUCCUCCUCUGCCUCUGUCCCUCUUGAUGUCUUCUAAUGAGUCAUGAGCCACCUGCCUUGGGCAGACUUCAUUUACUUCAGCUCUUAGCAGUGUUGAUCCUCUUUUCCCCAGAGUAUCUGUCAACUCAGGCCUCUGACUAGGGACCAUCUGGCCUGUUGUGCUGAACCUCUGGUCUAAGUGGCUGGCUGGGGCCCAGUCACACCUUCAGGAAAAGGCAGGUCUCCCGCGGGAGCCCUAAUCGGGGCCAGGGCACUUCCAGGGACAGUGAGGCAGGAGGGCCAGGGAAGGGUCUGGCCUGGGGCCUGGCUCUGCCUGUUAAGCCCCACAGCGCGGGCACCCAGGUCUCCCUGCCGUGUAGGGUUCCCGGAGAGCGGCCUCUGAGACUCGCCUCUCACCCAUUCCGAGCAGAACUCACUGUCUGGGGAGGAGACAGGAGGCAGCCAGUCUAGACCUGAAGCCCUGAGCUGUUCAAGAAGGGGCUUCCCUCACAAAGGAGGAAGGGGUCCUGCUCAGUCGUAGCCCUUCCUUGGCCCCAAGAUGGGGGGGUUCAGGAGGCAAGGAGAAGGCUGCGUGUAGUUGUGGGUAGAAAACCUUUCCCGGUUUACUGCACAGUUACACACAUGACAUCGGACUCCUGGCUAUAUAACAGCUUGCUCUCUCUCUGGUCUGGUGAUGGCCAAGGUAGUUUUUAAGAAAUUUAUUUAAAAUACCUAUCUGUAUCUGUUUACUGUGUUUUUUCUGAAUACACAAGUGUACAUAUAGUAUAAUUACAGUGCAGAGUCCCUGGCAAUAACUUCAUGUUGCGUAUUGUGUUAAAAAAAAACAUUGGAGAAUGCGACCACCCUGGACUGUCCUCCCUCUCUGGGGCAGUGAUUACACGUAGGACUCUGAACUUUGAACCUGCGGCGUGGUUGAAGCAGCAGCCUGCACGUGUGGACUGUCACCAGUGCCUCGCCCAGAGACGCCUGGCCUUCACCCAAAGGGACUCUGCACCCCGACUCCCACAGGUGGCACCCACGCUGCGGCUCCUGCGCACUGUGUUGGACUCUGCCGUAGACUGACCCUCUUGUCUGGCUGCCGCAGCUUGUCUGUAAUGCCCUGACAUGUUGCAUUUUCCCCAUUCAGAUGAAUAAAAAUAAAAGCUUCUGUCUUCAACA